Molecule: ribosomal RNA, 465 nt
Filed under: uncultured bacterium
Lineage: Bacteria
Description: partial 16S ribosomal RNA
Rfam family: Bacterial small subunit ribosomal RNA
Source: RNAcentral
CCUACGGGUGGCAGCAGUGGGGAAUAUUGCGCAAUGGGCGAAAGCCUGACGCAGCGACGCCGCGUGAGGGAUGAAGGUCUUCGGAUCGUAAACCUCUGUCAGCAGGGAAGAACGGUCACUGUGCUAAUCAGCAGUGAAUUGACGGUACCUGCAAAGGAAGCACCGGCUAACUCCGUGCCAGCAGCCGCGGUAAUACGGAGGGUGCGAGCGUUAAUCGGAAUUACUGGGCGUAAAGCGCUCGUAGGCGGUAUGUCAAGUCAAGGGUGAAAUCCCCGCGCUCAACGUGGGAACUGCCUUUGAAACUGGCAAACUGGAGUGUGUGAGAGGAUAGUGGAAUUCCAGGUGUAGGGGUGAAAUGCGUAGAUAUCUGGAGGAACAUCAGUGGCGAAGGCGACUAUCUGGCACAUAACUGACGCUGAGGAGCGAAAGCGUGGGUAGCAAACAGGAUUAGAUACCCUAGUAGUC